GUGGGUAACCUGCCCUGUACUGGGGGAUAACACUUAGAAAUAGGUGCUAAUACCGCAUAAGCGCACAGUGCCGCAUGGCACAGUGUGAAAAACUCCGGUGGUACAGGAUGGACCCGCGUCUGAUUAGAUAGUUGGUGAGGUAACGGCCCACCAAGUCAACGAUCAGUAGCCGGCCUGAGAGGGUGAACGGCCACAUUGGGACUGAGACACGGCCCAAACUCCUACGGGAGGCAGCAGUGGGGAAUAUUGCACAAUGGGGGAAACCCUGAUGCAGCGACGCCGCGUGAGUGAAGAAGUAUUUCGGUAUGUAAAGCUCUAUCAGCAGGGAAGAAAAUGACGGUACCUGACUAAGAAGCCCCGGCUAACUACGUGCCAGCAGCCGCGGUAAUACGUAGGGGGCAAGCGUUAUCCGGAUUUACUGGGUGUAAAGGGAGCGUAGACGGUGAGACAAGUCUGAAGUGAAAUCCCGGGGCUCAACCCCGGAACUGCUUUGGAAACUGCCUGACUAGAGUGCAGGAGAGGUAAGUGGAAUUCCUAGUGUAGCGGUGAAAUGCGUAGAUAUUAGGAGGAACACCAGUGGCGAAGGCGGCUUACUGGACUGUAACUGACGUUGAGGCUCGAAAGCGUGGGGAGCAAACAGGAUUAGAUACCCUGGUAGUCCACGCGGUAAACGAUGAUUACUAGGUGUCGGGGGUUUAUAAACCUUCGGUGCCGCCGCAAACGCAAUAAGUAAUCCACCUGGGGAGUA
RNAcentral lists this ribosomal RNA (748 nucleotides) under uncultured bacterium. RNAcentral describes it as "bacterial SSU rRNA". It matches the Rfam family "Bacterial small subunit ribosomal RNA", at positions 117 to 882 of the family's 1533-position model. The record is from RNAcentral.